GAAUUACUGGGCGUAAAGCGUGCGUAGGUGGUGGUUUAAGUCUGUUGUGAAAGCCCUGGGCUCAACCUGGGAAUUGCAGUGGAUACUGGAUCACUAGAGUGUGGUAGAGGGUAGCGGACUUCCCGGUGUAGCAGUGAAAUGCGUAGAGAUCGGGAGGAACAUCCGUGGCGAAGGCGGCUACCUGGACCAACACUGACACUGAGGCACGAAAGCGUGGGGAGCAAACAGGAUUAGAUACCCUGGUAGUCCACGCCCUAAACGAUGCGAACUGGAUGUUGGGUGCAAUUUGGCACGCAGUAUCGAAGCUAACGCGUUAAGUUCGCCGCCUGGGGAGUACGGUCGCAAGACUGAAACUCAAAGGAAUUGACGGGGGCCCGCACAAGCGGUGGAGUAU
RNAcentral lists this ribosomal RNA (394 nucleotides) under Pseudomonas syringae. Its description in RNAcentral is "bacterial SSU rRNA". It matches the Rfam family "Bacterial small subunit ribosomal RNA", at positions 548 to 940 of the family's 1533-position model. The record is from RNAcentral. Lineage: Bacteria; Pseudomonadati; Pseudomonadota; Gammaproteobacteria; Pseudomonadales; Pseudomonadaceae.